UGGGAAACAAGUGCAUCAUGCCAGAUCUGGGAUGUUCCCUCUGGGUGGAGCUGCCUGGCCCUUAUAAAAGGAGUCUCUACCACCGUGCUGCUAUCUUCGUGAUACUCAGUCAUAGGUCUUCUUUGGAGCCUCUGAUUCCUUGAGACCCAGGAAGGAUGCCUCACCAUCCGCAUCCACAUCCACAUCCACAGCAGCAUCAGCAUCAGCAUCACCAUCAGUGCAAGGAGCCCUGCCAUCCACCUCCAAAAGUGUGCCCACCGAAGUGCCAUGAGCCUUGCCCACCCCAUCCAUGCCCACCUCCAGUGAGCCAGCAGAAAUGCCCUCCUGGGCCACCAUGCCCACCAUGGGAGCAGAAGUGUCCACCCAAGUGGAAGUAACAGCACCAGAUUUCAUCUGCACCAAGAAACAAGAUCCAGGCUCUUCCAUUGUCCUCCCUUCGGCCAUGGUGAUGGACUACAUCUUCCUUAACCUCCCUCCUGGACCGACAGCUGACAGAGAAAUGGCUUGCUUCCUGAAGCUG
Molecule: long non-coding RNA, 520 nt
Organism: Capra hircus (goat)
Lineage: Eukaryota; Metazoa; Chordata; Mammalia; Artiodactyla; Bovidae
Exons: 2
Source: RefSeq, a predicted model, not a curated record